GCAAAUGGAUGUUGUCAUCUGAAGAGAAGGUUGUCCUGGGCCCAUGUUUAGAGGCAUUUGGGGCAUAUCAGACACAUAUCAGAAUCAAGCUGCAUGCACACUUGAGUUUAUUCAGAGAGAAGUUGUGGGCAUCAGUCUGGAAACUGGAUCAAAAAUUUGCUGCUGGAACGUGUGACAAAUAAAGGCAUGGAAUGAACCCAAAUGUAUGAACACUGCUACGAAAACUAAUGGACUUUGAAUGGCUUACCAGUUAAUUCCAGUGGAAUUGAAGAAGAGACUCUGACAAGAUUUUCAAGUUUGUGGUUAAUUUAAAACAUUAUCUUCAUAGAAAAGCAAUUUAAAGGUAGGCACAGUUAAAACUAUUUCUUGUGUGUUUGUUUAAACUGUAAAUUUAUGACUGAAGUUUGGUCACUAUGUAGUAAUGUGUUCCUUUGUGGUUAAUUAAAUGCUGCAGUGCUUUGUGGUAUUCAUUGUUGUAUUUCCAAGGCUAAAGCCUUAUUUUGUGAUCUGCAUUGUAUUGGAGAGUUUUGGAAACUAAUACUUAUUAUCUUAAUGCAUUGGAAAGUUUUGGACUAUUGUACAAUAAAUGCAUUUGGCUACA
Molecule: non-coding RNA, 601 nt
Organism: Misgurnus anguillicaudatus (oriental weatherfish)
Lineage: Eukaryota; Metazoa; Chordata; Actinopteri; Cypriniformes; Cobitidae
Source: RefSeq, a predicted model, not a curated record